This is a long non-coding RNA of Castor canadensis (American beaver), 1028 nucleotides long. The record is from Ensembl. Lineage: Eukaryota; Metazoa; Chordata; Mammalia; Rodentia; Castoridae.
GGCGACUCAAGAUGGGGUAGUAGUCUGCCUGGCACAGUUUCCUUCUCACAGAAGGUAACUCUGUCCGGCAUGAUGGAUUCCUGGACUCCUCGAACAGAUAGUCUGGAAGGAAGCUCGAAAAGGGAACUACCAUCACGUGCCCCGUGCCAGAGCUGGGUACUUUGGUGAACCUCGUCUCCUAGCUCCUACCUCGGCUUCGAGGUGGUUCUCACCAUCCCCAUUUUUCAGGGAAUACCCUUAAAGCUUGGACUACAGAUCCCAGGUCGCUGUGCCCUUCCUCCGGCCGCCAUCGUCGCCGUGCCCCCGCCCCACUCACUGCCAUUGUCUCCGCCGAAGAGAUCAGUGGGGAGCCGGGAAGACUGCAACUCCCGGCAGGCUCUGCGCUGCCGGGUGUGCGAUUUUGAUAUUACAGGCGGGCGAGGUGCUCAAGGUGGCCGAAUGAAACGACCAGGAGAGGCUAGGUAGUCUAGCAUCUUUAUGGUAGUCUCUUUAUCCUCCUGGCUCCACCACCCUUGAGGAACGCUAGAAGGAUAGAAAACUACUAUUCCCAUCGCGCCUCUAAAAUCGCCUGCUAGUCAGGUGUACGCCCCUCCUCCGCCAUCUUGUUUGUAGUCCUCGUUCCUUUUCACCUUUCCAUUGUUCCUGACGAGUAGAAAUGGCAGCGGGAAGGCAGCAGAAGGACUGCGACUCCCGUCAGGUACCACACACGCGGAGGGUUGUGGACAGAAGGGCGUGUGAGUGCCUGGGAAGGAGGUCGGGUCGGGGGGGAAGGCCAUCUUGUUUGUAGUCACCGCUCCCGCUCCUGUUCUAUGUUCUGCAACGGGGAGCCUCGGGGAAGCCGGACUACAACUCCCGGCAUGCUCGGCUCCCGGCGGGGCAUGCCCUUCGCCAUCUUGCUUGUAGUGCCCGCUGGCCCCUGCGUCCUAUUCCCGCGGUAGCUCCAGCAUCCGCAGGACUACAACUCCCGUCGUGCGCUGCACGCGCUCGUCCUGGAAAGUGGAGGUGGUGGAGGAAGGAGGGGGCAGGGG